Molecule: long non-coding RNA, 427 nt
Filed under: Pan troglodytes (chimpanzee)
Lineage: Eukaryota; Metazoa; Chordata; Mammalia; Primates; Hominidae
Description: long non-coding RNA NONPTRT013391
Source: RNAcentral
UGCAGGAUUGUAAAGUCAAAAAGCAAAAGUCAAACCAUCUCAAGUCCGGGACCGUCUCUAUCAGCUUCAAUUCCAGCUCUCCGUGGCAGUUUCAGCAGAAUGAGCCUGAGGCUUCCAGUGCUCAGAGCCACAAAAGCCACUCCCAGACCCUGCAAACGUGGGCCAUGUGGAGACCGCACAUUUUCAACUUGUCACCAAGGCUGUGGCUUUAGCCACACAAUGACUAACAUCCCUGAAUUUCUACAAUAAAUCCAGAACCCUAAAAUUAUGUCUGGGUUUCACAUUUCCUGAUUUUCUUUGGAAUAAAGUUAGCUUUGUUGAUAAACCUUUUGAGGACUCUGCCCUUUAGCAAUUCUGAAAAUGUCUUCCUGACAUUUUCCCUGUAACUAUCAAAUGCUUAAAAAUAAGUAUGUGUAAAAACCUUUUG